GACUGCGUUCACAGAGGCCAAUCUCAGGAGUGAUGCUAUUUUGUAAAGAGUAUAGCUAGAGGCAGUCAUGCUUUUUUAUUUAAUAUGAUAGGCCAAAGAUACUUAUGGAGUACCUUAGUUAGCUGUUGAAAAUGUGAGUUUCGGAAGCUCUAGCAGAUAAUUUAACACCCUUCUUAGUUCACAGUAAUAACAGAUCUUUCAUCAAAAGUCUCAGAAGAAUAAAAUCUUCACAGAGUAAGUCCAGAGCUUGAAAGGAAUCAGUGGCAAAAAAUGUUGCCAAACUGAAAGCUUAGAACUUUUUUCCGUUGCUGCCAUCAACCGCAUGCGUACUGGAUAUGAGCCAGUCAGUCUCAGUAAGCAAACUAGAUGUGAACAUUUACACUCGGGAAAAGGGGGCACAAACCCAGCGCUGAAAGAUCAGAGGGAAGGAAUUGGAAUAUAUUCAGAAAUCAACUGUGUUCAGAAUGACGGAGUGCCACAGCUUUAUGGAUAAGCAAACUAAAAAUGAAUGUUUUCCAGCAGUUUCCUGAAAGAUGACAAAGAAGAAGAAGAUGUCAAGCAAGUAAUUCUGCUUGGCUGUGUAUUUGGAACUGUCGGUCUUGUAGUCUUGGCACGUCUGAUUUUCUUGUGUAGAAAGGAGAGACAAAAACACAACCAGAAGCUUGUUUCAGAGGUUCCAGUUACAUCAGAACAAGAAACAGUGAAGUUCCAGAGAAGUUUUUAAUGAUAUACAGAAAAAGCAUAACGGAGGAUUAAAUUACCUGCAGCAUGCAUGCCUUUUUAUACAUCAGCCAAGGAUAGGCUUUUCAAACACAAGUGAUGGUUUUACAUAGUAUGCUAACAGUUAAUUUUUGCUUUCUAUACAAUGAGUGUUCAAUUGCAUGCGGAAUGCUAACUAAUUUUAUGGGAUUAUGUAGUGGCAUGUUCAGCCUAUUGUGUAUCACAAACAAAUGAUAAUGCCUCUGAAAGCAUCAGUUUCAAAGUUAUAUGCAUUAGCUUCUUAGUCACAUCUUCUUCAGUCGAACCACAGUUUUAAGAAAAAAUAAAAGAGUUAGUCAUUUUUAUGCA
RNAcentral lists this long non-coding RNA (1068 nucleotides) under Struthio camelus australis. RNAcentral describes it as "lncRNA (ENSSCUG00000009554.1)". The record is from RNAcentral. Lineage: Eukaryota; Metazoa; Chordata; Aves; Struthioniformes; Struthionidae.